UCCUGGCUCAGGAUGAACGCUAAGCUACAGGCUUAACACAUGGCAAGGUCGAGGGGCAGCAUGAACUUAGCUUGCUAAGUUGAUGGCGACCGGCGCACGGGUGAGUAACACGUAUCCAACCUUCCGUUUACUCAGGGAUAGCCUUUCGAAAGAAAGAUUAAUACCUGAUAGUAUGGUGAGAUUGCAUGAUAACACCAUUAAAGAUUUAUUGGUAAACGAUGGGGAUGCGUUCCAUUAGGUAGUAGGCGGGGUAACGGCCCACCUAGCCUGCGAUGGAUAGGGGUUCUGAGAGGAAGGUCCCCCCACAUUGGAACUGAGACACGGUCCAAACUCCUACGGGAGGCAGCAGUGAGGAAUAUUGGUCAACGGGCGAGAGCCUGAACCAGCCAAGUAGCGUGAAGGAUGAAGGUCCUACGGAUUGUAAACUUCUUUUAUACGGGAAUAAAGUUUCCUACGUGUAGGAUUUUGUAUGUACCGUAUGAAUAAGCAUCGGCUAACUCCGUG
RNAcentral lists this ribosomal RNA (504 nucleotides) under uncultured bacterium. Its description in RNAcentral is "bacterial SSU rRNA". It matches the Rfam family "Bacterial small subunit ribosomal RNA", at positions 17 to 507 of the family's 1533-position model. The record is from RNAcentral.